Molecule: long non-coding RNA, 1254 nt
Organism: Scylla paramamosain (green mud crab)
Lineage: Eukaryota; Metazoa; Arthropoda; Malacostraca; Decapoda; Portunidae
Exons: 3
Source: RefSeq, a predicted model, not a curated record
ACCAGCAGAUUCUCACUGUUUAUUCACUGUUUGUGUUGAUGCAGUGUUUGGCCAGCCACUUGUGUGUAUGUAGGGGACUCAGACCAGCAGAUUCCCACUGUUUAUCCAUUGUUUGUGUUGAUGCAGUGUUUGGCCAGCCACUUGUGUGUAUGUAGGGGACUGAGACAAGUUUAUUUAAUGUUCAGUGACCCAUUUGCAGGCACAGGGGUGUUGAGGAGCUGGGUGUGCAGGAGACAGACAAUUACAAAGGUUUACAGUUCAAAUGCUACAUGUAUCUUCAAAAUACAGAUAAUAAGUAGAUAAAUAUUGAAAUUAAUAUAAAAUACCAUUCUUUAUUUAACACUUAACCAAACUUAACCAACAUACACACACACGCUAACUCAGACAGUUCCCUAACUACCUUACCAUCCCGCAGGAGGCCAUGUCGGAGGUGCCGGUGGUGGGGUCGCCAGUUCCGGAGUACGAGGUGGAGGAGGAAAAGGAAGAGGAGGACGAGGAGGAGGCACGGAUAAGGAAGAAGAAAAGAUUAUUACCUGUAGCCCUCCCUCCAGCUGAUAAGGGGAUAUUAAGGAGCCCUUCCUACAGGUUCGUUCGAUGCAAGGAGUUGGCACAGGAGGCGUCCGAGGCUGUGUAGAGCGGCCGUCUGAACCUGGUGCCACAGCUUACUAUGUUCAACAGAUGCCUGAAGGAAGUGUGUGUAAGGGAGGAUAAAGAGAUCAUGCUGGCCUAUGCAGACGAUGUCGCUGUCGUGACAGGAAGCCAACAAGAUCUUCAAGAGGCCAUGACAAGAUGGAAUGAUGUUUUAAAUAGGGAAGGAAUGAGAAUGAACAAACAAAAAACUUAUUUACUAGUGGACAAGCAACAAGUGAUGGUGUGGCUCUGAGCCACUGUAGUAGGGAUGUUAUGGUUUAAGUGUAGGAAGUUGCAAAUGCUCACCUAACAAUUGCACCUUAGUAGAAAAACACAAACAGGAAGUUUAUGCAAGUUUUUAUCCUUAUAUAAAAUGUUGUAUUGCAUCAAACCUCCAUACAUUACUGUCUCUAUCCAGUAUGAGACCGGUGUUCAGGAAGCACAAGCAUGUGCUGAAUAACAAGAAGCCGGCAUUGGUGAAGGUGACAACAUUUCAUCUAUUUAUACAUACUUUUUAUUAUUAAAGCUUAUCUUAUAAUUAUUUCUGAAGAGAUUGACUAAUUUUUGUAGUAUUUAUGACUUAGAACUAUGAUAAAGCUAUGAAUUGAUAUAAUUCCUGAUUUG